Long non-coding RNA from Gallus gallus (chicken), 2047 nucleotides. RefSeq lists it as uncharacterized. NCBI's taxonomy places the organism in Eukaryota, Metazoa, Chordata, Aves, Galliformes, Phasianidae. The transcript is spliced from 4 exons. The record is from RefSeq and is a predicted model, not a curated record.
AGACAAAUGAGAGCAACCACGAGCACAACACCAACACCACAGGGCCAAGAACAUGGCAGAGACACUCCUUCCAACCACCCGCUCUCACCCCACUGGGACAUCCAACACCUCACCCGAUUUUAAUUAGCACUUGUUUACCACACGCACAGAAGUGGAGUUUUGGUCGUUUUAUUUUCGGCUAAGUGCUUUUUGUGUCAUUUUCUUUCUUUCUUUCUUUCCCAGAGAGGGCCGUGGGGUGGAAGAAAGAGGCACGCUAAAAUUCUAUUUGGAACAAAGGGGGAAAAAGGGCUACGCGUGAAGAACCAAACGAUCUGCGAGGAGCAACACAAGUUCCUUCAGUCGUGGCAAGCGCCCCGAGGGCACCGACUCCGCCACCCUCGGCCACACUGACCGAGGGCAGAGCCCCCACAAAGCGACAGGGUCAGCCCGCGGAGCUCGGGGCCGGCACAGCCCCCACACGGCAGCGGGGCAGGCGGGCUCAGCCCGCGCAGCUGGGGUCGGCCGCUCGCCCCGCCGCCAUUUCCCCGUCCCCCUGUGGCCUCGAGGCGGCCCGGCCCUGACGGAAGGAGGGGGGAGGCCGCGCCGUGAGCGGCUCGCGGGGACUCACGCCCGGCCUGGCUUCUCCGCCCGCCGGAGGGCAGCGCACGGAGGCGGCUGGAAACGGAGAAAGAGAGGGAAGGAAGGAGCGGGCUCUCCUCAGCGCUGCCCCGCGCCCGCCAGCGCAGCGUUACCUAGAGCCACGGCCCAGCCCCGCGCCGCCAGCCAGGGCACCACAUCCCUCUGCAGGUAGAAGCGGAGAACAGAGAUAAGAUCCCAAACUGAUGCUUUUUCUAAGAGAUGAGACUGAGAAUCAAACGAUGAUGCUAUUCUUCUAAGGUAUGUCGUGCAAUAUGUGAAAGGCCUUUGAGCAGGAGGCAGGAGUUAGCCAGAGUAACUGCUGAGUGUGCCAUGGAACUUAAGCUGGUCAACACGAUAAGAGAAAAAGAGAAAUGUUCUCAUACGAUAUAAGCAGGGAUAGAGUGGGACCUCACCUCCUCUGCACUGUCCUGGGGACUUGGAAGCAUCUCUGAUGUUUGGCUCUGAACCCAAGAGAAGCGCUCUCAGAACUUAACCAGUCUUUGCAGUGAGACAAAGGAUGAACUGGUAGCUUGACAGAUGAAUAGAUUUGAGAAACAGAAAGGGAUGAAGUGAUACAUGACUGUCAGGCUUCAGAGAUACAGAAACAUAAGAAAAGCAACAAAGUAGAGCUGGGGAAGAUGGGAUACACAGGAGCUAAAGGAAUCAAAAGGAGCAAGGAGCCAGAACAGAAGAGAAGAAAGAAUCUGAAAAAAGAAGACAUAGGCUAAUAACCUGUUUAGAAAUAAAGUCACACAGUCCUCCCAGAAAUUAAGUUGGAAUUCCUGAGUUUCUCUGUUGCAAAUUAUUUGAAAACCACUAUUUUCCAGUGGCUUAUCCAUAUAAAAAGGCAUGAUAUUACUUCUGCCUGUCUUGGUUUUUGUUCCAGUGAUAGGGGUUUCCUUGUGACUCUUCAAGAUCCAACACUGCUGAUGACCCUUGGGAGUGCUUGGGAAUGUCAUUUUGAUUCCAUGAGUAAUUAGCUGUUCUUUUUGCUCUUCCUCAAAAAUACAUAAAUAAAUAAAUAAAAUAUGCAAAUGUAUAUGAAGAAAUGACAAUUUUUUGGUUCAGAGAACAGUUUCAUUUGUUAUAUCUUUUUUCAUUUCUAAAACAUAAUCCAUUCUAUUAACGAAAUAAAAAUGAAAUCUGAAGGAGCAAGAAAGGUAUGUUUGUUAUAAGAUGAAUGAUAUUUCAAAGAGAGUUAUCUGGUAUGAACAGUGCUUUUUGGCAAUUUCUUAUUUUUGAAUUUUAACUUUGUAAUUAAAUUGUACAGCAAUGGUGUACAUUAGGACUAUCUAUGUCUGCAUUCAGUUCCUGAAAACAUAUUUAGGAGAAUGCAUAUGGUUUGCCUGCCUGUUCAUGUCUUUGUCUAGCACAGAUAAUACUAGAAAUACUUAAAGUAAAUGAGCUUUGCAGUAAAUUCAGAAAGUAA